This is a non-coding RNA of Physcomitrium patens, 5775 nucleotides long. The record is from RefSeq and is a predicted model, not a curated record. Lineage: Eukaryota; Viridiplantae; Streptophyta; Bryopsida; Funariales; Funariaceae.
UGUUGCAGCGGGGCCUGGGGAAGAGUGCUGCCACCCCAAGCAGGACGACGCAGCAGCAGCCGUAGCUGCUCUGUGGGAGGGAAUUGGCAGGAAUAGUGGUAGCAAUAGCCCCGCAAGCACAAAACGAAGAAGGAGCUGUGCAACUCGCUGCUGCAACCCCAUGGAGGAAGAGCCUGUAUUGUGGUUAUCUGCAGCAAGGGCUGACAGCAGCAUACCAACGGACGUCGGGACCUCCGGCUGGCUCCCCCUACUACGCCUGCUCCCAAUCGUACAAUAUGAUCAAUAACUCCCCUCGCUUCCCACUUGCGUAAUCGCUCCUUCGUUCUUUCCUCUCUCUCUCUCUCUCUCUCCCUUUUACUAACACACCUCCUCGAUAGCCAGCCAGCCAGCGCUCAGCCAAACUACGUUGGUUGAGUUCAUGUGCCGGCAUCUGAUUGAGUGUCGGCGUUUAAUGUAUAUGAUUGUAGGUCGUACUGUAAUUGAGUCUCGCCUCGAUUCAGGUGAAGUCAGUAGUUGUGAGGAUCAGCGCCGGAGCGGUGUUAGUUGAGUGUCGAGAGACGGCAAAGGCUACGUGUAGUUUGGACGAUCGUGUGAUGCUGAUUGAAGUCUUUUUUCCCUUCCCGUGGAGAGGCGUUUUGUUGACUGCGCAACUGAAACGUGAUGCUGUUGUGAUGGUUUAAGGUCAGUAGUUUAAUGUUGUGUGAUGGUACCGGGAUUGUUGGCGUGAGGGUUAGAAAAGGUUUCGAGGUCACUGGUGGAUGGUUUGUUCGUGGACAUCGUCAUGUAGUCACGUUACGUUUUAUUCAUCUCGAUGUGUUGUGUAAAAUAGUUGUUCUAUCGCGAGGCAUUUUCCAGCACUGGAAGCAGUUCAUUGGUCGGGAAAAAUGAUUGUACUCCAUGCUGGCUGUUCUACACUGCAGCGAUAGCCUUUAUAUCAGUGGUCCUAUGAAGACUUUCUGUGUCCACUAAACCGUCUGUGAGCUAUCUGCAGCUAUUUUCAGAUUAGGUCCUGAUCGUUUCGUCUUUGAUAUUAUUCUGGUAUUUUUGCAGGCGAAAGAGUCACUGAGUUGAAUCGGUUGUGAGUUGAAUGUGCAGCGUUCGGUGUGCAAGCAAGCCAGAAAAUCUGGCAGUUAGUUUCCUGGACAAUUUGUAGUAAUGUAUCGAGGAGCGCUUGUUGGACGAGCUUGUUUUGAUCAUGUAUCAAAAGCUUGACCACCUCAGGUUGCUACCGAUGGGCCUCAAUGUCCUGGUUUGAAUUCGCAGACGGACCGAAGAUGGUCUCGCUUACAGUAUCAGAACCGGAGUUAUAUGUCUUAUUUCCUUCUCAACUUCUGCACCGUUCCAUAGGCUAACGAAUAGGUCCAUCGAAAGCGAAGUUAGAAUCCCUCUCUGGGGUUGUAACGCUUCCAGCUGAGCAGGUGCGUUGUGAGUGCACCUAAGGAUAAAUUGCCUAUGAAAAGUCAUUGUAGUAGCGGAGCCGAGAAAUUGAUACGCUUUUUCACACACAUAUGAUUGGAAGAAUUUACGGAUCCUCUGUUAAUUUUGGUUAUCAAAUACAAGGUCAUGGUCAUUAUUGUAAGAGCUUGCUGCCGUUUCUCAUGAUUUUUCUGCCCUAUGCACUGCUGAGCUAGUUGUUGAAGAGGAGCAUUAUCAUUUCGAGCUUAAUUUUUCGGGAAGUGCAGUGAGCGCUUGGUGAUUGUCGGAAUAGAACGAGAAAUUUCUAUUUUAUUAAUGGCUAGGAGACGAUGAAAGCGUUUUCCACCACUCAGAGUGAAGGGAGCUUGCCAUAAUGAUUCUCAUUGCAAGAGCUUGCUGACAGACAAAAUAGGCUGCUUUUUCCUGAUGUGAGGGAAUUUGUUUACUAUCCGACUCAUUCUUAUUAAUGGUACAUUUACAAGUACUGUCGUGAUCAUCCAUAGAGCUAUUCGUGCAUACACAUCCAUUCCUUACAUUUCAGCUGUGUUUCAUGUUCCUCUAUGCAGCGAUAGUUUUGUAAUUCCGUACUUCGUACUCGGAUAAAUAGCACCAGAACCUUCAUCUCUGGAUAGUCUUCAGCAUUACGAGCUAUAAUAGAUUCCAACUUGAAACUAUGGGAAGUUCUGGUCGAGCACAGACUCGAAAGUAUAUUGAACGUUUGGAAUGAGACAAAGAAAACAGUUGAUCAAUCCCGAUAGCAAUCAAAUGUCGAACCAGAGUGGAGCCAGGAGCGGAGUCAGAAGUGAAGCUAGGAGGGGCUCAGAAUCGAGCCCCUGCAUAUCAAAUGGGAGCUCUAGGUCAAAGGUCCCGCUGAAGUGUGGAAGUGGAGUAUACAUGCAUAGAACCACAGGGCCUGGGCGGCUUAGAGUAAAGUGGUGGAAUGACUCAGGAAACACAUAUGUCAGGCCUACGUACAAUGAUUCCAAAGCAGGGCCUAGGUAUGGCCACAAUUGGCACACUAAGGUUUUCGUUUUCUGGGUGGUUUUUAUGGGCGCUGUCUCUCUAUCUGUUUACUUCGCAAUGAGAUUUGACAUGCUUGAACGGAGAAGGGAAAAUCUUGCAAACAUGUGCGAAGGACGGGCUCGUAUGCUUGAGGACCAAUUUAAGGCAAGUAUGAACCAUGUGAGAGCUCUUACUGCUCUUCUCACUACUUUUCAUCUUGGCAAGCAACCUUCAGCAAUUAAUCAGGAAACAUUUGCCACGUAUGCUGCAAGAACAGCAUUUGAGAGACCUUUGAUGAGUGGCGUUGCAUAUGCUGAAAGAGUGCUUCAUGCUAAUCGAGCAAUGUUUGAGUUGACACAUGGUUGGACUAUCAAGGAAAUGUUCUCAAAAGAACGACAACAAGAUUUUGAUGAAUAUGCUCCAACUACAAUGUCUCAAGAGACCGUUUUUUACUUAACUUCACUCGACAUGAUGUCUGGUCAGGAGGACCGGGAGAAUAUUAUCCGGGCACGAGAGUCUGGGAAGGGCGCUUUAACCAAUCCCUUCAGGUUACUAGAAUCGAAGCAUCUCGGCGUUGUAUUCACUUUCGCUGUCUACUCCACUGACCUACCCUUUGAUGCAACGAAAGAAGAUCGAAUUAAAGCAACUGCCGGUUAUCUCGGAGGUGCAUUUGACGUCGAAACUCUUGUGGAGAAUUUAUUGCGUCAAAUGGCUGGUAGCCAGAUUAUUGCGGUAAAUGUAUACGACAUCACCAACGACACAAUGCCUCUUGUAAUGUAUGGCCAUACUAAUGUUGAAAGAUCGGAUAACACGUAUGUCAGCCUUUUGGACUUCGGAGACCCAUUACGCAAUCAUGAAAUGCGGUGCAGGUUUAAAGAAGAUGCGUUACCUCCUUGGACAGCCAUUUCCACAUCAAUAGGCAUAUUUGUGAUAGCGUUUUUGGUCGGACACAUGUUACAUGCAUCUAGGAACCGGAUUGACAAGGUAGAAGAAAAUUGUCGGAUAUUCCAGGAGCUCAAGAUGCGGGCAGAUGAUGCUGUCAUAGCGAAAUCUCAGUUUCUGGCAACUGUCUCUCAUGAAAUACGGACGCCCAUGAACGGUGUUCUAGGAAUGCUUCAAAUGUUGAUGGAUACUCCUUUGAAUUCGACGCAGCUAGACUAUGCUAGAACUGCUCAAGCAAGUGGCAAAGCACUCAUCACCCUAAUUAAUGAGGUUCUAGACCAGGCCAAGAUUGAAUCAGGCCGUCUGGAGCUUGAGCAUGUCCCCUUCGAUUUACGUGCUAUCCUUGACGAUGUACUCUCUCUCUUUCAUGGAAAGUCGAGAGCUUCAGGCAUUGAGUUGGCAGUUUACGUCUCUGAGAAGGUCCCAAAAAUUCUCAUUGGCGACCCAGGUCGCUUUCGGCAGAUAAUUAUUAAUCUCGUUGGCAAUUCUAUCAAAUUUACUGAAGCAGGUCAUAUUUUUGUUUGCGUCCAUCUGAAUGAAGAUGUAAAUAUGGUAAUGGGUUGGGAUGGAGGUGAUGCCGAUGACACUCUAGAUGGGGAGGUUGAAAGCGCUAGACCUCUUAUUGAAAAGGGGCAUCAGUUCAAUACUCUUAGUGGCAGAGAAACUGCUGACCUCCGAAAUAGCUGGGAGAUGUUUGAGCGACUGCUUACUCAAGAACAGUCAUAUCGGUCAGCUGGAGAUCGUGAGACAUGGAAUUAUGAUUCGAAUGAUGUUGUAGAACUGGUGGUUAGUGUAGAGGACACUGGUGUUGGCAUACCCUUGCAUGUACAAGACCGUGUAUUCACACCUUUCAUGCAGGCCGACAGCUCAACAUCAAGAACCUACGGAGGCACAGGUAUCGGACUAAGCAUAAGCCGAUGCCUAGUGGAGCUUAUGUCUGGAGAGAUGGACUUUGUCAGUAGUCCUGGGGUGGGAUCUACUUUCACAUUUACCGCAGAAUUUCAACGAGUACCUGCAAAUGUACCAGAGAGCAUAUUAAGAGAAGGCAGCAAUUGCCUGUUACAAACGCCCCCAUUACCUACUUGUUUUCAAGGCAUGCGUGUACUCGUAGUGGAUGGUAGACAAGUCCGUUGUGAAGUCACGCGUCAUCAUUUGAAAAGGCUUGGUCUACAGGUUGAGGUCGCCCACUCCGUUCCUGAGGCUGCUGAGCUUCUCACCACAGUGGUUAACCGCGGUUCUCGCGGUACUCGUAAUUCGCGUGGCUCCAUUUCUGCGGACAUCGAAAUGAUCUUUGUAGAUAAGGAUGCAUGGGGUCCAGGAACUGGGAUGAAUUUUCGGUCUCUUCUUUCUGAAUGUUACAUGGAGUCCCCCUCGAGUUACCACAAUGCACGAGCAAGUUACCAGUAUCGGUUAACAGCAGGCAGGCUCCCCAUAGGAUUUCAGGUUCAUUCUAUGCAGAAGAUGGUUCUAGUUGCGACAUCGAUGAAUGGGCUGGAGCUUGAGAUGGUGAAGGCUAGUGGAUUUGUGGAUACUGUUAUUAGAAAACCUCUUCGAGCAAGUUUGGUGGCUGCUUGCCUUAAGCAGAUUCUUGGAGUGGGAGAUGGGAGGGACCCAGGGCAGGAGUUACGGGGUGGAGUUAAUUCUCUUCAGAACCUCUUAUCUGGAAAAAGAAUUCUAGUGGUUGAUGAUAAUCCCGUGAAUCGAAAGGUAGCAGCCGGGGCUCUCAACAAGUAUGGUGCUCAAGUUGAGUGUGUUCACAGCGGAAGAGCAGCAAUCCAGAAGUUAAAACCUCCUCACAACUUUGAUGCGUGUUUCAUGGAUGUGCAAAUGCCAGAAAUGGAUGGUUUUCAAGCAACGGGUUUGAUAAGGAAAGCAGAAACUUUAGCCGCAGACCAGUGGCUAGCAGCGGGUUUGCCAACCUUUGGAGUCCGAUUUCAUGUACCAAUUUUGGCCAUGACAGCGGACGUUAUUCAAGCAACAUCAGAAGAAUGUAUGCGUUGUGGUAUGGAUGGCUAUGUGGCUAAGCCUUUUGAUGAACAUCAGCUUUAUCAGGCGGUUGCAAAGCAUUUCUUCCAGGCGAAUUAAUGUUCUAUAUUAUACACAUUCCAGUCUGAGACCUCAUUAACUGCAGACCCUGGAUUUUUAUCGAGGACUACAAAGUCCAGCUGGUUCCAUAUUCUUAGGUCCAAUUCAUGUGAUGCAGGAUCGCAUGAGAACGUGACAAUGUGGGAUUCUCACUGCAUGUUUUAGCAGCUGAUCAGCAUUUUACAAUAACAGCUUGUAAUCAAUUAAAUUCUCUUGAAAAAUUUCAAGUGUCUGGUGAAUAUCUUUUUGGUAGUGUUUUAUAAUUAUCACCGGCUCACCCACCAUCGUUUUAUUUUAUUAUUAUUAUUAUUAUUAUUAUUUGCUGCCCUA